Molecule: long non-coding RNA, 976 nt
Organism: Hemibagrus wyckioides
Lineage: Eukaryota; Metazoa; Chordata; Actinopteri; Siluriformes; Bagridae
Exons: 3
Source: RefSeq, a predicted model, not a curated record
UUACAUUGCCACAUGCAUUCACAGUGAAGUGGUCCAUUUUUAUCUGUUUUCCUCUAAAGGCCCCUGCAUUUCACGCUACAGCAAGAUACAGUGUGCCAUACAAAGCCAUCUUCAAUAGUGGAAUUCAACCUGGCAAGAACAUUUCCAUCCAAGGUGUAGUUAAUCCUCAAGCUUCCAGUGAGCUGUGGCGGGGUUAAAAGAAGGGAAGAGGAGAACCAGAGAAGGAGAGCUGAGUACAGAAUUCUUGUGCAUAUUUAAAAUAGAAAGGCUAAAAAGCAAGAUAAGCACACUUUCACAGUUUCCUUUUUCCUGAACCUGCUACAUUGCCUAACUGUCUUAUUUCUACACAUCUGCAUUUUGUAACUGCUGAUGUUGUAAUAUUCUGUACUGACCUGCCGCAGUUGGUGUCACAGUAGAAUAUACAUCAUGCACUUCUGAGCUUACUUUAACCUUAAACAACAGGCUCAAGUGACAACCAUUUGGCUAGAUUUGAACAUUAGUUUUUUGGUUUUGUCUUAAUUCCAUCUUUUAGUGUAUUGUCUCAGUAUAUUUACAUGGUACAUGCGUUUACACUGUAAUGCCUCAUUUUAGGUUUUAUUUUGUUCUGACUUUUCAAGUAUCAGUGGCAUCCAUAUGAAUUACAAGUACAUCCCAUUCACCAAUAGGUUUCAGAACAGGAUCCUGUUCUAGCAUUUUUUUUCUAGCAUUUUCUCCAUAUUCCUUAUCACAUCAUCCUCCCAGUAAUGUGAGUGUGGAAGUUAUCUCUGAACACCUUUAAGAGCAGUCCUGGUCCACCCACUCCUGGUGGCUAUUAAACACAACUGAGGCAUAUAUUAUUUUAAAUGGACAAUCUAUACACAGAUAGAACUAUUCACAUUCUCUAAUAAAAAAAAACACUGAUCAGUGGUUAUUAUUAAUCAUUAAAUGUCCCACCAUUUCAUAAUAAAUAAAUAAAUCACAAUGUCUAACUCUCUCA